RNAcentral lists this ribosomal RNA (253 nucleotides) under uncultured bacterium. RNAcentral describes it as "partial 16S ribosomal RNA". It matches the Rfam family "Bacterial small subunit ribosomal RNA", at positions 524 to 776 of the family's 1533-position model. The record is from RNAcentral.
UACGUAGGGUGCAAGCGUUGUCCGGAAUUAUUGGGCGUAAAGAGCUCGUAGGCGGUUUGUCGCGUCGAAUGUGAAAACCCGGGGCUUAACCCCGGGCCUGCAUUCGAUACGGGCAGACUAGAGUUCGGUAGGGGAGACUGGAAUUCCUGGUGUAGCGGUGAAAUGCGCAGAUAUCAGGAGGAACACCGGUGGCGAAGGCGGCUCUCUGGGUCUGUCCUGACGCUCAGGCGCGAAAGCUAGGGGAGCAAACAGG